GACGAACGCUGGCGGCGUGCCUAAUACAUGCAAGUCGAACGGUUUAGUUCCAAGAGGCAAGACUCUUGGAACUAAGCAGUGGCGGACGGGUGAGUAACACGUAGGCAACCUACCUGUCAAACCGGGAUAACCUCGGGAAACCGAAGCUAAACCCGGAUAAGCUCCUUUUUCGCAUGAAGGGGGAGUGAAAAGGUGCGACCUGAUGACAGAUGGGCCUGCGGCGCAUUAGCUAGUAGGUAGGGUAACGGCCUACCUAGGCGAUGAUGCGUAGCCGACCUGAGGGGGCGUACGGCCACACUGGGACUGCGGUACGGCCCAGACUCCUACGGGAGGCAGCAGUAGGGAAUCUUCGGCAAUGGGCGAAAGCCUGACCGAGCAACGCCGGGUGAGUGAGGAAGGCCUUCGGGUUGUAAAACUCUGUUGUUUGGGAAGAAGGGAAAGGGUAGGACCCUUAGGUGACGGUACCAAACGAGAAAGCCCCGGCUAACUACGUG
Molecule: ribosomal RNA, 494 nt
Filed under: uncultured bacterium
Lineage: Bacteria
Description: partial 16S ribosomal RNA
Rfam family: Bacterial small subunit ribosomal RNA
Source: RNAcentral